CCUACGGGAGGCUGCAGUGAGGAAUAUUGGUCAAUGGACGAGAGUCUGAACCAGCCAAGUAGCGUGAAUGAUGACUGCCCUACGGGUUGUAAACUUCUUUUAUAAAGGAAUAAAGUGAGGCACGUGUGCCUUUUUGUAUGUACUUUAUGAAUAAGGAUCGGCUAACUCCGUGCCAGCAGCCGCGGUAAUACGGAGGAUCCGAGCGUUAUCCGGAUUUAUUGGGUUUAAAGGGAGCGUAGAUGGGUUGUUAAGUCAGUUGUGAAAGUUUGCGGCUCAACCGUAGAAUUGCAUUUGAUACUGGCAGUCUUGAGUACAGUUGAGGGAGGCGGAAUUCGUGGUGUAGCGGUGAAAUGCUUAGAUAUCACGAAGAACUCCGAUUGCGAAGGCAGCUUACUAAACUGCCACUGACGUUGAUGCUCGAAAGUGUGGGUAUCAAACAGGAUUAGAUACCCGGGUAGUC
RNAcentral lists this ribosomal RNA (460 nucleotides) under uncultured bacterium. Its description in RNAcentral is "partial 16S ribosomal RNA". It matches the Rfam family "Bacterial small subunit ribosomal RNA", at positions 338 to 795 of the family's 1533-position model. The record is from RNAcentral.